UACGUAGGUGGCAAGCGUUGUCCGGAAUUAUUGGGCGUAAAGCGCGCGCAGGCGGUCCUUUAAGUCUGAUGUGAAAGCCCACGGCUCAACCGUGGAGGGUCAUUGGAAACUGGGGGACUUGAGUACAGAAGAGAAGAGUGGAAUUCCACGUGUAGCGGUGAAAUGCGUAGAGAUGUGGAGGAACACCGGUGGCGAAGGCGACUCUGUGGUCUGUAACUGACGCUGAGGCGCGAAAGCGUGGGGAGCAAACAGG
Molecule: ribosomal RNA, 253 nt
Filed under: uncultured bacterium
Lineage: Bacteria
Description: partial 16S ribosomal RNA
Rfam family: Bacterial small subunit ribosomal RNA
Source: RNAcentral